AACGAACGCUGGCGGCAUGCCUAACACAUGCAAGUCGAACGAGACCUUCGGGUCUAGUGGCGCACGGGUGCGUAACGCGUGGGAACCUGCCCUUAGGUUCGGAAUAACUCACCGAAAGGGGUGCUAAUACCGGAUAAUGUCUUCGGACCAAAGAUUUAUCGCCUUUGGAUGGGCCCGCGUUGGAUUAGCUAGUUGGUAGGGUAAAAGCCUACCAAGGCGACGAUCCAUAGCUGGUCUGAGAGGAUGAUCAGCCACACUGGGACUGAGACACGGCCCAGACUCCUACGGGAGGCAGCAGUGGGGAAUAUUGGACAAUGGGCGAAAGCCUGAUCCAGCAAUGCCGCGUGAGUGAUAAAGGCCUUAGGGUUGUAAAGCUCUUUUACCCGGGAUGAUAAUGACAGUACCGGGAGAAUAAGCUCCGGCUAACUCCGUG
Molecule: ribosomal RNA, 433 nt
Filed under: uncultured bacterium
Lineage: Bacteria
Description: partial 16S ribosomal RNA
Rfam family: Bacterial small subunit ribosomal RNA
Source: RNAcentral